Molecule: ribosomal RNA, 455 nt
Filed under: uncultured bacterium
Lineage: Bacteria
Description: bacterial SSU rRNA
Rfam family: Bacterial small subunit ribosomal RNA
Source: RNAcentral
AACGAACGCUGGCGGCAGGCCUAACACAUGCAAGUCGAACGCCCUAGCAAUAGGGAGUGGCAGACGGGUGAGUAACACGUGGGAACCUUCCCUAUAGUACGGAAUAGCUCAGGGAAACUUGAAGUAAUACCGUAUACGCCCGAGAGGGGAAAGAUUUAUCGCUAUAGGAUGGGCCCGCGUCGGAUUAGCUAGUUGGUGAGGUAAUGGCUCACCAAGGCGACGAUCCGUAGCUGGUUUGAGAGAACGACCAGCCACACUGGGACUGAGACACGGCCCAGACUCCUACGGGAGGCAGCAGUGGGGAAUAUUGGACAAUGGGCGCAAGCCUGAUCCAGCCAUGCCGCGUGAGUGAUGAAGGCCUUAGGGUUGUAAAGCUCUUUUUAGCUAGGGAAGAUAAUGACUGUACCUGCAGAAUAAGACUCCGGCUAACUUACGUGUCCAGCAGCCGCGGUAAU